CCUACGGGAGGCAGCAGUGGGGAAUCUUGCGCAAUGCGCGAAAGCGUGACGCAGCAACGCCGCGUGGGGGAAGAAGGCCUUCGGGUUGUAAACCCCUUUCAGGAGGGACGCGGUACCUCCAGAAGAAGCCCCGGCUAACUACGUGCCAGCAGCCGCGGUAAUACGGAGGGGGCAAGCGUUGUCCGGAAUUAUUGGGCGUAAAGAGCGUGUAGGCGGUCCGAUAAGUCGGCUGUGAAAGUCCAGGGCGCAACUCUGGAAUGCCGGCCGAUACUGUCGGACUAGAGUCCGGAAGAGGCAAGUGGAAUUCCCGGUGUAGCGGUGAAAUGCGCAGAUAUCGGGAGGAACACCAAUGGCGAAGGCAGCUUGCUGGCGGCACUGACGCUGAGACGCGAAAGCGUGGGGAGCAAACAGGAUUAGAUACCCUUGUAGUC
This 431-nucleotide ribosomal RNA is filed under the name uncultured bacterium. RNAcentral describes it as "partial 16S ribosomal RNA". It matches the Rfam family "Bacterial small subunit ribosomal RNA", at positions 338 to 795 of the family's 1533-position model. The record is from RNAcentral.